RNAcentral lists this unclassified non-coding RNA (350 nucleotides) under soil metagenome. RNAcentral's name for it is "partial contains 5.8S ribosomal RNA, internal transcribed spacer 2, and large subunit ribosomal RNA". The stretch from base 1 to 120 matches the Rfam family "5.8S ribosomal RNA", at positions 35 to 154 of the family's 154-position model. The record is from RNAcentral.
GAUGAAGAACGUAGCGAACUGCGAUAAGUAAUGUGAAUUGCAGAAUUCAGUGAAUCAUCGAGUCUUUGAACGCACAUUGCGCCCCCUGGCAUUCCGGGGGGCAUGCCUGUCCGAGCGUCAUUGCUGCCAUUCAAGCCCGGCUUGUGUGUUGGGUCGUCGUCCCCCCCGGGGGACGGGCCCGAAAGGCAGCGGCGACACCGCGUCCGGUCCUCGAGCGUAUGGGGCUUUGUCACCCGCUCGAUUAGGGCCGGCCGGGCGCCAGCCGGCGUCUCCAACCUUCUAUUUUACCAGGUUGACCUCGGAUCAGGUAGGGAUAACCGCUGAACUUAAGCAUAUCAAUAAGCGGAGGA